CCUUCGGGGUACUCGAGCGGCGAACGGGUGAGUAACACGUGAGCAACCUGCCCUAGGCUUUGGGAUAACCCCGGGAAACCGGGGCUAAUACCGAAUAUGACCUCGCAUCGCAUGGUGUGUGGUGGAAAGUUUUUCGGCCUGGGAUGGGCUCGCGGCCUAUCAGCUUGUUGGUGGGGUGAUGGCCUACCAAGGCGACGACGGGUAGCCGGCCUGAGAGGGCGACCGGCCACACUGGGACUGAGACACGGCCCAGACUCCUACGGGAGGCAGCAGUGGGGAAUAUUGCACAAUGGGCGGAAGCCUGAUGCAGCGACGCCGCGUGAGGGAUGACGGCCUUCGGGUUGUAAACCUCUUUCAGCAGGGACGAAGCGUAAGUGACGGUACCUGCAGAAGAAGCGCCGGCCAACUACGUGCCAGCAGCCGCGGUAAGACGUAGGGCGCGAGCGUUGUCCGGAUUUAUUGGGCGUAAAGAGCUCGUAGGCGGCUUGUCGCGUCGACCGUGAAAACCUGGGGCUCAACCCCAGGCCUGCGGUCGAUACGGGCAGGCUAGAGUUCGGUAGGGGAGACUGGAAUUCCUGGUGUAGCGGUGAAAUGCGCAGAUAUCAGGAGGAACACCGGUGGCGAAGGCGGGUCUCUGGGCCGAUACUGACGCUGAGGAGCGAAAGCGUGGGGAGCGAACAGGAUUAGAUACCCUGGUAGUCCACGCUGUAAACGUUGGGCGCUAGGUGU
This 729-nucleotide ribosomal RNA is filed under the name uncultured Micromonospora sp. RNAcentral describes it as "bacterial SSU rRNA". It matches the Rfam family "Bacterial small subunit ribosomal RNA", at positions 77 to 823 of the family's 1533-position model. Lineage: Bacteria; Bacillati; Actinomycetota; Actinomycetes; Micromonosporales; Micromonosporaceae. The record is from RNAcentral.